This 394-nucleotide ribosomal RNA is filed under the name uncultured bacterium. Its description in RNAcentral is "partial 16S ribosomal RNA". It matches the Rfam family "Bacterial small subunit ribosomal RNA", at positions 338 to 729 of the family's 1533-position model. The record is from RNAcentral.
CCUACGGGUGGCAGCAGUGAGGAAUAUUGGUCAAUGGACGCAAGUCUGAACCAGCCAAGUCGCGUGAAGGAUGACGGCCCUAUGAGUUGUAAACUUCUUUUGUACGGGAGUAAAAGUUACCACGUGUGUUGUUUUGUAUGUACCGUAAGAAUAAGGAUCGGCUAACUCCGUGCCAGCAGCCGCGGUAAUACGGAGGAUCCAAGCGUUAUCCGGAUUUAUUGGGUUUAAAGGGAGCGUAGGCGGAUAUGUAAGUCUGAGGGGAAAUGUCCGGGCCUAACCCCGGAACUGCUUUUGAGACUGUGUAUCUGGAGUGCAGGAGAGGUAGGCGGAAUGCAUGGUGUAGCGGUGAAAUGCAUAGAUAUCAGGCAGAACGCCGGUUGCGAAGGCAGCAUAC